Molecule: non-coding RNA, 1256 nt
Organism: Lactuca sativa (garden lettuce)
Lineage: Eukaryota; Viridiplantae; Streptophyta; Magnoliopsida; Asterales; Asteraceae
Source: RefSeq, a predicted model, not a curated record
CAUUUUUUCAUAUAUAUAUAUAUAUAUUCAAAUAAAAACAUUUCUUAAAAACAAUUGAGAACAUUUUUUCAUAGAUAAUUUUCUUAUCUUUCACUCUCUCUAUAUACAUCUCUCCUCUUUCUCUCUCCACAUAUCUGUUCUUUCUCUCUCUACAUAUCUCUCAUAUUUCUCUCUCUACCCGAACCACCGUCACCAUCAAAUACUUCCACCGGAACCACCGUAAUGACAUCGGAACUACCUAACGUCGCCGGAAUCACCGUAAUGACUCCGAAACCAACCUAAUUUCGUCGGAAUCAUCGAGCUGCUUCUUCACACUCUCUGGAUCUGUUUGGUUUCCCGAUAUCAAUUCCCGAUCUCCAGCUCCACUUAUUGCCAUCUUCUUCCUUUAGCAACCACCUCCUCUACCUCUUCACUUACCGGCAUCUCCCUCGCCUCCCUCUGUUUGAGGUAACAGUAGAAGAAAGGAGUGCCACUAGGUCGUUUCACCUGCCACAGUUACCACCUUCGUUCUCUGCGACAAUCUGCUCCAGCAACUUCCUUUGACCUUUGGCCACCGUGACCAACUUCCCAAACUCAAUGUCCACCAGAAUCCACAUGUGGUUCCUCGAAAGAAGUGAAGUAGAAGAGGAUCCAAGUUUUGAAUGCCUACAUGUCUCAGAGGAGCUGGAAAACAAUAGCUGUAUUGUUCAAUCGAUCUUACAAGGGUUAUAUGACUCGAUCAAUGAGCAUAUCAGCUGAUGGACUCCUAUUUCCUAGAUGAGUGGUGGCGAUGAGAUCGAAAGUAGAUGUGGCCUAGGUUUUUCAUCGACAAUUGGUAUGGUGUGGGUGCGGAGGAAACAGGAAGCUACACGAGAACAAAGAACUCAAGAAGUUCGUGGAGCGUUCGAGUCUCACGUUUCUUUAUUUUCUGGUUCCCAAUAUGGUGUUGCUGCUGCGACAUGGAUUUUAGUCUCGAGCUUCAUCGGAGAAGAAAGAUCGCCAGAUAGGGAGCAUCGGUCGGAGAUGAAGAUAACAUUGGAAGAUUAUUUGUGUUGGAUGCGUUUUUCUGGAAAUGAAUUGUGUCGACGUUUAAUAAGGAGGUAAGACGUAAUUUCAAGUUAAUAGUUAGGUCAAAUAUUAUUUGGGCUUAAGUUAAAGCUAAGUUUUGGGCUAUCUAAUUAGUUUAGUAUUUUUAAAACCAAACAUCUAUUUCUUUUGCAUAUUGGAUUCAUCUAAUUAAUACCUUAUUUAAUUUUUGAGAAAUAGAUAACGCAAAA